This 1685-nucleotide ribosomal RNA is filed under the name Foissnerides sp. RNAcentral describes it as "LSU rRNA". It matches the Rfam family "Eukaryotic large subunit ribosomal RNA", at positions 76 to 1857 of the family's 3401-position model. The record is from RNAcentral. Lineage: Eukaryota; Ciliophora; Litostomatea; Haptorida; Trachelophyllidae.
UGCCUUAGUAAGGGCGACUGAACCGGCAAAAGCUCGAAAUUGGAAUCGGGGAUUCAAAGAAUCUUCGAAUUGUAAUCAGGAUUGCCUAAAUACGAAAAUUUGCUCAAGCUUAUCGAAAUAAGAACCAGAGAGGGUGAAAGUCCCGUACAGCUUAUUUUCGAAUAAGGUAAUUCCAAAAAGAGUCGGGUUGCUUGGAACUGCAGCCCUAAGUGGGAGAUAUGAAUCUUCCAAAGCUAAAUAAGGAUGGGAGACCGAUAGCGAACAAGUACUGUGAAGGAAAGAUGAAAAGGACUUUGAAAAGAGAGUUAAAAGAUCUGAAAUCGUUGAGAAGGAAGCGGUAGAAACUGACGGUCAUACUGAAUGAUUACGUGAUGAUACAUUACGGAUAAUUCUCCAGAAUGACGGGCAAAAUGAAGUUAAUCAUAUCAAAAAAGGCUUUAGCCGUGUAAGAUAUGAUUAGCUUGAGGGACUAUUGUGAUUUUGCCAAAAUGGUUUUUACCGUCCCGUCUUGAAACACGGACCAAGGAGUCUAACAUAUAUGCGAGUGUGCGAGUGGAAAAACUCAUACGCGGAAUGAAAGUAAAAGGUGCGCAGCGUAAGCAGCAGCAUCGACCGACCUAGUAAGAAAGGUUUGAGUAAGAGCAUAUCUGUUAGGACCCGAAAGAUGGUGAACUAUGCCUGAGUAGGGUGAAGUCAGGGGAAACCCUGAUGGAGGCUCGUAGCGUUGUUGACGUGCAAAUCACUCGUCAAACUUGGGUAUAGGGGCGAAAGACUAAUCGAACCAUCUAGUAGCUGGUUCCCUCCGAAGUUUCCCUCAGGAUAGCUGGAACAAAAUCGCAGUUUUAUCAGGUAAAGCGAAUGAUUAGUGGCCUCUGGGUGCUUUUUGCCUGGACCAAUUCUCAAACUUUAAAUUGGUAAGAACUCUUCGUUAUCUUAAUUGAACGUUGAGACAGAAUGCGUGUUCUUAGUGGGCCAUUUUUGGUAAGCAGAACUGGCGAUGAGGGAUGAACCUAACGUCGAGUUAAGGUGCCCAACUGUACGCUCAUCAGAUACCACAAAAGGUGUUGAUUCAUCUAAACAGCAGGGCGGUGGACAUAAAAGUCGUUACCCGCUAAGGAGUGUGUCAUGACUCACCUGCCGAAUGAAUUAGCCCUGAAAAUGGAUGGCGCUUAAGCGUACGACCGAUACUCGACCAUCAUUACAAAAGGCCGUAGUGAUGAGUAGGAGGGCGUGGAUGUUGUGAGAAGCUUAUGGCGUGAGCCUGGGUGGAACGACAUCUAGUGCAGAUCUUGGUGGUAGUAGCAAAUAGCCAAUUGGAAACGUUGGCGGCCGAAGUGGAGAAGGGUUCCCUGAGAACAGUAAUUGGUCAGGGGUUACGCGGUCCUAAGUUCCUGGUUAAAUCUGUAUAAGGCGCUCUAUAGCGCGGAACGAAAGGGAAUCAGGUUGAAAUUCCUGACGCUGAAUAGGAUACGUGGUAACACAAACUAGCUCAGAGACGUCAGCGCGUGCUCCUGGAAGAGUUUUCUUUUCUUCUUAACAAGUAGGCGGCCUUGAAAUUGGUUUACCCAGAGAGAAGGCUGUAAGCUUGGCAGAGCAUCUCGCUUUUUAGAGAUGUCAGGUGCGCUCGCGAUGACCCUUGAAAAUCUGAGCCAGAUCUAUCCUAUUUAGGCCGUACCCAUAACCGC